Carassius gibelio (silver crucian carp) is the source of this 407-nucleotide long non-coding RNA. RefSeq lists it as uncharacterized. NCBI's taxonomy places the organism in Eukaryota, Metazoa, Chordata, Actinopteri, Cypriniformes, Cyprinidae. The record is from RefSeq and is a predicted model, not a curated record. The transcript is spliced from 4 exons.
GCUGUCAUUCCGACUUCAACUGAUACCGCCCAGCUCCGCUCAACCAGUCCUGAUCGCAGAGUUAAGGUCCUGUCUCAAUCCUGUACUGAUGAAGCAGCUGAUGGAGGUCUUCAGGAUCAUCACACACUUCAGACAGUUUGUGUCAGAUGAAGAUAAAGAGUCACUAGUAACAGGUCACUGCAUCGUUUGUAAUAUUUACCUCAGUCACUGAUCUGCCUAACUCAUGAGCAAUCUUCUCCCACCGGCCUGGCGUUCCACCAGGAAACUUUGCCAUGCAGCGGGAGAGCUGGCUGAGAUCCUCCUCCGUCCACUCUAGAGUCUAAAUUCAUCACCAGCCAUUGGUUAAUGCAAUACUUUCCAUUUAAAUGAGUGUUCUCUGAACAGAAAAUAAACUUACUUUCAUCUUU